This 440-nucleotide ribosomal RNA is filed under the name uncultured bacterium. Its description in RNAcentral is "partial 16S ribosomal RNA". It matches the Rfam family "Bacterial small subunit ribosomal RNA", at positions 338 to 795 of the family's 1533-position model. The record is from RNAcentral.
CCUACGGGUGGCAGCAGUGGGGGAUAUUGCACAAUGGGGGAAACCCUGAUGCAGCGACGCCGCGUGUAGGAAGACGGUCCUCUGGAUUGUAAACUACUGUCCCCAGGGACGAAGCUGACGGUACCUGUGGAGGAAGCUCCGGCUAACGACGUACCAGCAGCAGCGGUAAUCCGUAGGGAGCGAGCGUUGUCCGGAAUUACUGGGUGUAAAGGGACCGUAGGCGGGGGUGCAAGUUGGGUGUUAAAUCUACCGGCUCAACUGGUAGUCGCACUCAAAACUGCAGCUCUGGAGUGAAGUAGAGGCAGGCGGAAUUCCUGGUGUAGCAGUGAAAUGCGUAGAUAUUAGGAGGAACACCAGUGGCGAAGGCGGCCUUCUGGGCUUUUACUGACGCUGAGGCUCGAAAGUGUGGGGAGCAAACAGGAUUAGAUACCCUUGUAGUC